UUCACCGUCCCUUCAGUUCCACAGAGGCCUUCGAAGUUCGAAACCGUCCCUGCGUUUUGACUGCAACCCUCCCCCUUCCUUGCCUCUUCCAAACCCUUCUCUAGAAGAGGCCAUAACACGACGCGUCAAGAUAGGGUCUAGGGAUUCCCUCUCUCGCUUCUGAAUCAGCUUUACUUUUUCGGGAUUCGCAGAUUUCUCUCAUAAACCAGCCAAAGCAACGCUCGCGAUUCUUUCAUCUCAUUCCAGCUGGUAUUUUCUUGGAAAAUAUAUUCAUCUCUUGACCUGUUUGAGAAGGAGAAAAAGAGAGGUCAACAGAAAAGAAUCCUUCGACGUUGGGCAUCUUCAUCCCUCGUUUUCCUCCAUUACCCUACAUCAAAGCCAUGGCUGAAGAAUCAGGUAUGUUUAUGGUUCCCCAAACAGUUGGAAGCGUUCUUUGUUGCAGAUGCGGCAUUCCAAUGGCACCAAAUGCUGCCAAUAUGUGUGUCAAGUGUUUGCGCUCUGAAGUUGACAUCACAGAAGGUCUUCAGAAGCAUGUAAUCAUAAUCCAUUGCCCUGAGUGUGACAGCUACUUGCAGCCACCGAGAACUUGGCUCAAAGCCCAAUUGGAAUCGAAGGAACUGUUGACAUUCUGUGUAAAGAGGCUGAAGAAUUUGAAUAAAGUAAGAUUGGUGCAUGCAGAGUUCAUUUGGACUGAACCCCAUUCCAAGAGGAUCAAGGUCAGAUUGAAAGUUCAGAAAGAGGUUCUUAACGGAGCAAUACUUGAACAAUCGUAUGUGGUCGAGUAUGUUCAGCAAGAACAUAUGUGUGAAUCCUGUUCAAGGAUUCAGGCCAAUCCAGACCAGUGGGUUGCAGCCGUGCAACUGCGCCAACAUGUUUCUCACAGGCGUACUUUCUUUUACUUGGAGCAGCUGAUUCUGAAGCACAAUGCUGCUGCCUCUGCCAUAAAGAUCAAGCAGAUGGAUCAAGGGAUUGACUUCUUUUUCUCGAACCGGAGUCAUGGUGUGAAGUUUGUGGAGUUCGUUGGUAAAGUUGCUCCAGUGAGGAGUCGCAAUGACAAACAGCUUGUUUCCCAUGAUACUAAGAGCAAUAACUACAAUUACAAGUACACUUUCUCCGUUGAAAUCUGUCCGAUAUGUCGUGAGGAUUUGAUCUGUUUGCCUCCAAAGGUUGCAGCUAGUUUGGGAAAUCUAGGUCCUCUUGUGAUUUGCACCAAAGUCACCAACAGCAUUGCUUUGCUUGACCCUUUCACCUUAAGGAUCAGUUUCUUGGAUGCUGAUCAGUAUUGGAGGGUGCCAUUCAAAUCUCUAUCCACUAGCAGGCAGCUAGUGGAGUAUAUAGUGUUAGAUGUGGAGAUUGUUUCUUCUGAAGUUAACGUUGGUGGCUCCAAAUAUUGCUUAGCUGAUGCACAAGUGGCUCGUGUAUCAGAUUUCGGGAAAAAUGAUACAAUUUUCUCCAUCAGAACGCAUCUGGGCCAUCUUUUGAACCCUGGGGAUUAUGCGCUUGGUUACGACUUAUAUGGAGCUAACAGUAAUGAUGGUGAGCUAGAGAAGCACAAGGGUCUGAUCCUCCCAGAGGCAAUUCUGAUAAAGAAGAGCUACGAAGAGAAGCGCCAGAAGAAGCGUGGGAAGCCUCGUGCAUGGAAGCUUAAAUCCCUUGACAUGGAAGUUGAUGAUAGGAAGGGAAGAGCUGAGCAAGAGAAGAUGAACACCGAGUAUGAACAGUUCUUGAAAGAUCUGGAGGAGAACCCUGAAAUGAGGUUUAAUAUGUCAUUGUACCGUAAUAAAGAUUACCAGCCAUCAGAGAUGACGUCUGUGGCUGAUGGAGAUGACUUGCCUUCUGUUCCACUGGAAGAGUUGCUUGCUGAUCUCGAACUAAGUGAAGAGGAGGAAGGUGGGAGUGAUAGCAUGAUGGAGUGAUGAGAAGCUUUUGCUCUUAAAAUUUAUUUUCCUUCCUCAACUUCUAUCGUAUAGGUCAAUUCAUCCAUAUUUCUCAAGGAACCAUAGAAAGAUCGUAUCAUAUCUUAUUGUCUACCUGCACUAAGACUGUUCAUCCAAGCGGGUUUUUUCUUGAUCUGGUAUGGAACCCGGAUAAUCAGAUUCUGGAUGCGGUUUCUGGCCUGGGUUAUACCCGGGCCUAAAACCGGAUCACCCUACACAAAAACCUUGUACUUGGGUUUUUUAAAAAAAUUGAUCCUAGUAUCAAAAUGACAUCGUUUUAGGCUGAGAGUUAAAAUCACUUACCCCGUUCGAUCUCUCAACUCUCAACCUCAAAAUCUCUCUCUCUCUCUCUCACUGAAACCCUAGCCUCCUGGCACUCUUCUUUUGCCGAUCACUCUAUUGCUCCGUCGUCGGCUUCAAGAACCCAAGGUUAGUUUUUCUCCAUCUCUCUCUCUCUCUCUCUUUGAUCUUUUAUAACUGAUGAAUUCUUGUAACUCUGCCAAUCGAAGCUCCGUUGCCUUGUCUCUGUUGUCUUCAUCACUCUGUGUCGCUCUGUUGUCGAUGUCAAUAACCCAAGAGCCAGCUCUACUUUCUUCGCUGAGACCCCUGAGUGAGCUCAAUCUGCUGUGGUUAAGCUCCAAAAGGUCUACAAGAGUUACAUUACUUGAAGCAACCUUGCAGAUUGUGCAGUGGUUGUGGAGGAGCUAUGUUUAGUUUCUCUCAGCGUUAUCUAAACAUGUGAAUUCUUUUAUGUUCUUUAGUUCUGAAUUUUGAGAACUUGAUUCGAUGAGUAGGAGGAAAGCAUUGGACUUUGCUGCUCUAAAGCAGGGUUCUGUGUCAUCCUUCGAUGUUGAGAAACUAGAAACCAUUGUUUCAAGGUGGGUGAGGGCAAAGAAUACAGCAGCCAAGGUGCUUGUACACCAUAAGAAUUCCAAGCUUCUGCAUAACGUGAUUUUAUAUCUUCUUGAUCUGCUGGAGAAUUAUUUCGAUAUUGAUUAAGAAGAAUUACUAACAGAAAAAUUAAGAAGGCUAAGAAAUCAAGAGAUUCCAAGUAUGAGAAGGCUCAAAAACUGGCGCUGCAAUAGUGGGUUAAUGGUUCCCACUUCAAGAUCAAGGCCAUUGGCUUUCCUGCAAGACCAUGGACAUGGAGCAGCCUGGCCUUCAACAUAGCUUGAGAAGCGGUAGUGCUGAAAUGUCUAAACCUUGUGUGAAGCUGGGAAUGGGAAUUUAAAGAAAACUGAGAAGAUUGGUGGUUAAACAUAAAGGGUACGGGUGGGAGGUUGAAAUAAAACAUGAUGAUGUAUGGUUUAUGCCAUUAGUUACUGUGGAUUACAGUUGGAGAUGUGGGCUGAUGCCGGUGGUAACCUGGAUGCUUACUGCUGCUUCGGCCAUUGCUGGCAUUCUAUUUCUUCAAGCUGUAUGCUGCUUUGAUGCUUGCCGCUGUUCCUUAUGUUUGCUGCCUGGAUAUUUGUUGCUGCUGUUGUAGCUAGCAAUAUUGUCAUGCUAUUCAUUUCUAUGGAGCCGUGGGGUACUUCAUUGUUAUUAAUAGAAUAUUUUGUAUUUUGUAAUGUAAUGUAUAUAUAUCAAACAAUGUAUUAUGUAGUGGAUUGUAUUGUAGUGCAUGCAUUUUACAUGAUGAAUAUAGGAUUUUUCUUUUGUUUUA
Carya illinoinensis is the source of this 3600-nucleotide RNA transcript. It is a transcript of the gene named 60S ribosomal export protein NMD3-like, with no coding region annotated. The record is from RefSeq and is a predicted model, not a curated record. The transcript has 5 exons. Lineage: Eukaryota; Viridiplantae; Streptophyta; Magnoliopsida; Fagales; Juglandaceae.